AUAGACAUAAACCAUUAACAAUUUUUUUUUAAACAAAAAAAGUGUCCCAAUGUAAAGAAAUGCGGUACAUGUAUUGUAAUCUUGAGCCUGGUUCCAUUCUGACUGACUUGAAAAAUAAACUUAAUGUAAUUAUAUAUGGUGUAGAUAUAUUUAUGUAGAUGUGAUUUAUUUCUAGUCUUUUAGAACAAAUCCUAACAUUAUGUGACUUGUAGCAUAUAUAUACUAACAAACUGUUUUUUAAAGAUGUCCUCAAAUAUCAUCAAAAUCAACUCUUAUUAUAAUAUCCAUUUUAUCUACUGUACUCUCACAGUCACUCACAGGACAUUUAUUUACUGUAAUUUCA
RNAcentral lists this long non-coding RNA (343 nucleotides) under Mytilus galloprovincialis (Mediterranean mussel). Lineage: Eukaryota; Metazoa; Mollusca; Bivalvia; Mytilida; Mytilidae. The record is from RNAcentral.